GCGCCUGUAGCUCAGUUGGACAGAGCAACGGAUUUCUAAUCCGUCGGUCGGGGGUUCGAUUCCCUCCAGGCGCGCCA
This 77-nucleotide transfer RNA is filed under the name Candidatus Eiseniibacteriota bacterium. RNAcentral's name for it is "Candidatus Eisenbacteria bacterium tRNA-Arg". It matches the Rfam family "tRNA". Rfam says of the family: Transfer RNA (tRNA) molecules are approximately 80 nucleotides in length. Their secondary structure includes four short double-helical elements and three loops (D, anti-codon, and T loops). Further hydrogen bonds mediate the characteristic L-shaped molecular structure. tRNAs have two regions of fundamental functional importance: the anti-codon, which is responsible for specific mRNA codon recognition, and the 3' end, to which the tRNAs corresponding amino acid is attached (by aminoacyl-tRNA synthetases). tRNAs cope with the degeneracy of the genetic code in two manners: having more than one tRNA (with a specific anti-codon) for a particular amino acid; and 'wobble' base-pairing, i.e. permitting non-standard base-pairing at the 3rd anti-codon position. RNAcentral also lists the same sequence under 1 other name. The record is from RNAcentral. Lineage: Bacteria; Candidatus Eiseniibacteriota.